RNAcentral lists this ribosomal RNA (524 nucleotides) under uncultured bacterium. RNAcentral's name for it is "bacterial SSU rRNA". It matches the Rfam family "Bacterial small subunit ribosomal RNA", at positions 355 to 896 of the family's 1533-position model. The record is from RNAcentral.
UGGGGAAUAUUGGACAAUGGACCGAGAGUCUGAUCCAGCAAUUCUGUGUGCACGAUGAAGUUUUUCGGAAUGUAAAGUGCUUUCAGUUGGGAAGAAAGAAAUGACGGUACCAACAGAAGAAGUGACGGCUAAAUACGUGCCAGCAGCCGCGGUAAUACGUAUGUCGCGAGCGUUAUCCGGAUUUAUUGGGCGUAAAGCGCGUCUAGGUGGUUAUAUAAGUCUGAUGUGAAAAUGCAGGGCUCAACUCUGUAUUGCGUUGGAAACUGUAUAACUAGAGUACUGGAGAGGUAAGCGGAACUACAAGUGUAGAGGUGAAAUUCGUAGAUAUUUGUAGGAAUGCCGAUGGGGAAGCCAGCUUACUGGACAGAUACUGACGCUGAAGCGCGAAAGCGUGGGUAGCAAACAGGAUUAGAUACCCUGGUAGUCCACGCUGUAAACGAUGAUUACUAGGUGUUGGGGGUCGAACCUCAGCGCCCAAGCAAACGCGAUAAGUAAUCCGCCUGGGGAGUACGUACGCAAGUAUG